CUAUAAUUGGCACCAUCUGAUACAGCAGUCACUAGCCACAUGUGGCUAUUGGACACUUGAAACGUGGCCAGUGCACCUGGAAAACGGAAUUUUUGGCUUUAUUUAAUUUUAAUUAAAAUUUAAAUGGUCACAUGUGGUUCGUGGUUACUGUUUGGGACAGUACAAGUUGAAAGUGCUUUCUGGAAUGUGCUUCUUGCUAGCUGUGUGAUCUUAGGUUCUGGCGUCUGCUGCAUACUGUGUCCAUUCCUGUGCUGCCCGCAGACUAUGAAACCCUCAAUCACCAUGGUGAAUUUCCACUUGGAAGAUCUGUUGUCCUGUCUUCACUGUGAUGUCUUGGCAUCACUCGAGGUACUGUCAUCAUAGGAAAACACCUGGAUUUGGAUUCAAAGACAAAGCUGUUUAUAAAACCAGUUGUGCA
RNAcentral lists this long non-coding RNA (418 nucleotides) under Equus asinus (donkey). RNAcentral's name for it is "lncRNA (ENSEASG00005032714.1)". Lineage: Eukaryota; Metazoa; Chordata; Mammalia; Perissodactyla; Equidae. The record is from RNAcentral.